This is a long non-coding RNA of Gadus chalcogrammus (walleye pollock), 1441 nucleotides long. RefSeq lists it as uncharacterized. The record is from RefSeq and is a predicted model, not a curated record. NCBI's taxonomy places the organism in Eukaryota, Metazoa, Chordata, Actinopteri, Gadiformes, Gadidae. The transcript is spliced from 3 exons.
AAGGCCAUUGGGUAAUGUCGUUCUCUGAUAAAUCAACAGCAUAAGGUUUAUUUUGACGUCAGUAACUGCUGUAACCUCUCGCCGGUAGUCGAGUAAAAUAUGUCAAUAAACAUGUCACCGUGCGGCUCAACUUUGCAAGAACAGCUUUCGUCCAUAAUGGAGGUACUUUCGAAAGCGGCUGUAUCUGAAAUUAGCCAGCUGUUCUCAGACGGAUCGGCUACUCUUCAGUUACAAAUAAUUCAGAGCAGCAAAGAAAACCAAGUGCUGAGGAUGAGGAUGAAGGUGAUGAGGAGUGAACUUUUUUCUCUGCGGCUUCAAACAAGAUCGAUUGCAUCGCGUGCGGCGAGUCGUUUUCCCCUGAAUCGAGCCAACCUCUGCAAACCACGGACUAAAUCAAUGGGAAAUUGCCUAAAGCCCCUGAUUGACCACAAGGCGGUUGGACAUUCCCCUUUUUAUUCACCAUCCAAAAGUGAGGCUUCGUCAGUUAUAAGUCCAGCAGAGGAGACCCCUGACAUAAUUUCAAUCAAGAUUGAAGAGGAUAUCAGUAGAUGCAGGCCAGACGGUGAGUCAUACAUAUUGCAGCAUAGAGUUAGGCUACUAGAUUCUACCUACCCUAAAAGGCGCAUCAUGACCAGAGCCCUGAUAAAACACAAGUAAAACUUGGGAGUUGCAUUUCAAAGAUGGAAACAGUCAAGAGCCAAGAAGGGCUUCAAGCAGGAUGCCACAUAACUGGUUAUCAGUUGAUUCCAGUCAUACAGUGGUAAGAACAUGUUUAUGCACCCAUGUGAAAGUAUACUAAAAAAUCCUCUUUUGGAAAUCGAUCUUAAUGCCUUAUUUAAAAUGAGGAAAAAUCCAACCUUUUAGGCCACCAAUUUUCUUUGUGAAUGAAUAAUGUAUCGUAAAUAAAUAAAUGUUCUUCAUUAAAAUACAGGGUGCAUAAACAUAGGAACCCCUAUGAUAAAUUCCAAUAGAGGCAGGCAGAUUAUUUUUUUAAGGGGAAUUUAUUUCAUGGAUCCAGGAGAGGAUGAUGUGGGGCUAUUUUAAUUCCAAAGGUAGGAGACUUAAUCCGAACGCAUAGUAUCCUGGAUCGAUUAAAUAAAUGGCUUUGUUCCCCCUCUUAGAUGUUUUUUUUUUUUUUUAAACCUUUCUAUUUUUAACAAAACUGCUUAUCUUAGUUAUUUUGCUCACCCCAAAAUUUUAUGUUUUUAUUCUCCUUGUGUUUUUUAAUCUGUAGCCCUUUGAGAUCUUUGGACGAAAAGGAAAGUAUAAAUAAAAUGUAUAAUUAUUAUUAUCAUUCUCAAACAUAAAUAAAUGUAAAACUAUAAAAAAUGUAAAUGUUAGAUCAUCAGCUUACAGGGAAUGGCCUGUUGUCUCUUGUCGUUGUCAAUAUACAAUAAUUGUCUCGCAUGUAAUGUUGUAAAGCUUAUUUUGCACUGGUGUU